GAUGAACGCUGGCGGCGUGCCUAAUACAUGCAAGUCGAACGCAUUGAGAAAAGUGCUUGCACUUUUCAAUUUGAGUGGCGAACGGGUGAGUAACACGUGGGCAACCUACCUGAUAGCGGGGGAUAACGAGUGGAAACAUUCGCUAAUACCGCAUAACAAUAGAGAAGGCAUCUUCUUUAUUUAAAAGGCGCUUUCAAGCGUCACUAUCAGAUGGGCCCGCGGUGCAUUAGUUAGUUGGUGGGGUGAAGGCCUACCAAGAUGAUGAUGCAUAGCCGAGUUUAGAGACUGAUCGGCCACAUUGGGCCUGAGACACGGCCCAAACUCCUACGGGAGGCUGCAGUAGGGAAUCUUCCACAAUGGACGAAAGUCUGAUGGAGCAACGCCGCGUGUGUGAUGAAGGCUUUCGGGUCGUAAAGCACUGUUGUAUGGGAAGAAAUGCUAGGCUAGGAAAUGAGCUUAGUUUGACGGUACCAUACCAGAAAGGGACGGCUAAAUACGUGCCAGCCGCCGCCGUAA
This 516-nucleotide ribosomal RNA is filed under the name uncultured bacterium. Its description in RNAcentral is "partial 16S ribosomal RNA". It matches the Rfam family "Bacterial small subunit ribosomal RNA", at positions 28 to 523 of the family's 1533-position model. The record is from RNAcentral.